This is a long non-coding RNA of Thrips palmi, 974 nucleotides long. RefSeq lists it as uncharacterized. The transcript is spliced from 7 exons. The record is from RefSeq and is a predicted model, not a curated record. NCBI's taxonomy places the organism in Eukaryota, Metazoa, Arthropoda, Insecta, Thysanoptera, Thripidae.
AGCAGCUUUACUGGAUGCACCUUCAUGCGGUUUUAGUGGUGUUAGCCUCGAGUGUGAAUUAAAAAAUCUCAUGGCAUUGAAUCUGAUUUCCCUGGUUCAUACGGAACUUUUCUUGGAUCUAACCUCAACAUGUAAACAUGGCAAGAUGUAAAUGAAUCGAUUUUUUUAUGUCAUUCGUGCCAGACUAGAUUCCUGGUGCAAAGAGAUUUGUACUGUGUUGUGGACUCAUUCUAUCUUUAAACGACAUUAGUGAGCAAUCUUCCUGAGUACUUUAAUGAUUUCUCUGGUUCAUGUGGACUCAUUUAUCUAAUUUCAACAUGUAAAUCAGUCUGGAAUCUCAUGGCAUUGAAUUUGAUUUCCCUGGUUCAUACGGAACUUCUCUUGAAUCUAACCUCAACAUGUAAACAUGGCAAGAUGUAAAUGAAUCAAUCUUUUUUUGUCAUUCGUGCCAGACUAGAUUCCUGGUGCAAAGAGAUUUGUACUGUGUUGUGGACUUAUUCUAUCUUCUAACGACAUUAGUGAGCAAUCUUCCUGAGUAGUUUAAUGAUGUCUCUGGUUCAUGUGGACUCAUUUAUCUAAUUUCAACAUGUAAAUCAGUCUGGAGUGAGUCAAUCUUUUAACUUCAUUUGUGCCAGACUUGUUUUUCCUGAUGGAAAGUGUUUUGUACUGUAUUGUUGGUCUUCCAUAUCUUGAAACAACAUUUUAGUGUGCAACCUUAUGCAAGAUGGGUGUGUCUGCAGAAGUGCACCGGGCUAGGAUUGGUACCUAUGCAAGCAGUAGAGUAUCAGUAAGAACCAGGAGAGGCCAACCUAAAUGCUUCAGUUCAUUUUUUUUUCAAUUGCCAGUUUCUCUGGUCUUGAUUCUCAUCCUUUUAUUCAUUGGGGGCAUUGAACUAAAUCCUGGUCCGACUUACCGAUGUGAAGAAUGCUCUGCGGUACUGAUUAGUGCUCAGCAAUAUUUCAAUCACCAGAAGG